This is a long non-coding RNA of Episyrphus balteatus (marmalade hoverfly), 496 nucleotides long. RefSeq lists it as uncharacterized. The record is from RefSeq and is a predicted model, not a curated record. The transcript has 3 exons. NCBI's taxonomy places the organism in Eukaryota, Metazoa, Arthropoda, Insecta, Diptera, Syrphidae.
CGAUUUCCGUUAACACUCUGUCGGCACACGGGUGCGAAUUUGGCAGGACAAAAAUAAAAAGUGGUCACAAAAAAGUGUCUUUAUAAGGUGAGACCGAAAAAAGUUCUAGCGACAUGAAAAAGUAUAAACCAAAUUCACAAAAAAGAGGUGUGCCUACAGAGGGUUACUAACGGUUCAAAAGUUAUCAUAAAUCUGCAACAUUACUCACGAAAAUUUUAAUCAAAAUCUUUAGAGUCGAUUAAAAAGAAAAAUUAUUUUCUAUUUCUCUCAUGUUCUUUAGGAUACCAAAUUUUGGCACAUCUGCGACUCGUUUGAACGUAAACAAAAGUUUAUUGCUGAAAUAAAAAAAUGAACUACAUAAGCCCGAAAAAAGGGCUGGAAAGGAAAGGGGAUUUGUUUAGACAUUAUAAAGAACCAGCAGAGUGUCGAGAAUUUAGGCUAAAAUGAAUAGAAAAGAUUUUUCAACAUCCGAUUGAUCGUCAAAAGAACUGCUUUU